Alligator sinensis (Chinese alligator) is the source of this 703-nucleotide long non-coding RNA. RefSeq lists it as uncharacterized. The transcript has 3 exons. Lineage: Eukaryota; Metazoa; Chordata; Crocodylia; Alligatoridae. The record is from RefSeq and is a predicted model, not a curated record.
UGUUUUAAUCGCUUCUUGACUUCUCUAUUUGGUUCGCCUCCAGCACAGCAAGAUGUCUGACAGCCUUGGCAUGUUGGAAGACCUGUGCUACCAGGACCCAUCCUGUUGUUGGAGACCCCGCCGCACAAAGCUAUGUUGGUGCUGUUGCUGUGAUCCAUGCACUGGAGAGGUAGUUUGGGAGGGAUGGUGCUGUUGCCCCUGUUGGCGCGGUAGGGGCAGUUAUGGAAGGCGCUGGCCAUGCUAAAUCCAGCUCGGAUAUCCACGGCACUUGAAGCAACCCGGACAUGAAAAGCAAGAUACAGAUUCACGGCCGACCCGACGGACAUGGCUUGAAGCAGUGCUAAGCACUCAGCACCUCCAGUGUGAAGGUUCAGUGUUGCUAAAAGACUCCCUCCCCAGGAAGUGUGUUUCCUAUGCUUUUCUCUGUCAAUCUAGGAACUUUGUAUUCUCUGCACUGUUAAGCGUUAAGGCCUCUUCAUGCUGUGCUGUCAUUUAAAUGGAUGCCUCUGCUUCCUUACAGUCCACUAGCAAUGCAUCACAGACCACUUGACACAUCCACAGAGGUGUGGAAGAGGUUUGGUGACCACGUGCAAAGAAUCCCUGUUGUGGUCCUUUGGAAAAACUUGAGAAAAUUUGCUCUCUCUUCUGUAUCCCUUCUGUCUGUAUUCUCAACUUCUUCUGUGCAUUAAAAUUCCUCUGCAGC